GAUGAACGCUGGCGGCGUGCCUAAUACAUGCAAGUCGAGCGAACAGACGAGGAGCUUGCUCCUCUGGCGUUAGCGGCGGACGGGUGAGUAACACGUGGAUAACCUACCUAUAAGACUGGGAUAACUUCGGGAAACCGGAGCUAAUACCGGAUAAUAUAUUGAACCGCAUGGUUCAAUAGUGAAAGACGGUUUUGCUGGCACUUAUAGAUGGAUCCGCGCCGCAUUAGCUAGUUGGUAAGGUAACGGCUUACCAAGGCAACGAUGCGUAGCCGACCUGAGAGGGUGGUCGGCCACACGGGAACUGAGACACGGUCCAGACUCCUACGGGAGGCAGCAGUAGGGAAUCUUACGCAAUGGGCGAAAGCCUGACGGAGCAACGCCGCGUGAGUGAUGAAGGUCUUCGGAUCGUAAAACUCUGUUAUUAGGGAAGAACAAAUGUGUAAGUAACUAUGCACGUCUUGACGGUACCUAAUCAGAAAGCCACGGCUAACUACGUG
RNAcentral lists this ribosomal RNA (497 nucleotides) under uncultured bacterium. RNAcentral describes it as "partial 16S ribosomal RNA". It matches the Rfam family "Bacterial small subunit ribosomal RNA", at positions 28 to 507 of the family's 1533-position model. The record is from RNAcentral.